Non-coding RNA from Monodelphis domestica (gray short-tailed opossum), 47 nucleotides. The record is from Rfam. NCBI's taxonomy places the organism in Eukaryota, Metazoa, Chordata, Mammalia, Didelphimorphia, Didelphidae.
CAACAGGUUUUUUUAAAAACCAACUACCAUGUGCCAGAGUAUAGACU